Long non-coding RNA from Patiria miniata (bat star), 1700 nucleotides. RefSeq lists it as uncharacterized. Lineage: Eukaryota; Metazoa; Echinodermata; Asteroidea; Valvatida; Asterinidae. The record is from RefSeq and is a predicted model, not a curated record. The transcript is spliced from 4 exons.
AAUUGUGAAUGGACAAGUCAAUGCAAUGCUGACGUCACAGGAGGGAAUCCUUAGCUUGCACCAUGAGUGGAGACAACAAUGAAAAUCAACAGCAAAAUGCUUCAGACAGCUGUUUGUCUGCUUUUAUGAAGCGCAUUGUACUUCCUAUUGGAUUACUGUAUCAGUAAGUAACUGUGUGAAUUUGAAGCUCAUCAAUACCGAUGUUUGGAGAGACUACUUCAUGAUAUCUGAGGAAAGGGGAGAGGAUUUUCAUCAUGUUUACAAUCAAGUUGAAGAGCUUGACAGCAUCCCGAGCAGUGUAGCUACCGGUACUCUUCCCACCCAAGUGAGGGACAGUGUUUUCAAAACACUUAAUCUGGAUCCAUCUCAAGUGAAGAGUGUGUGCAAAAAUCCUGACAGGCCAAACAUAUUCAUCAACCAUGCGAAGCCUCUCAAGAAAGAUAAACAAAGCUUAUGAAAUUGAAGAACCUCGAUGGCUACUCAGUGGACUGCAUAAAUGAGCUACACAGGGAAGGAUGCAGCUAGGGCCAGGAAAGCAAGCAUUUAUUACAGGUUUGUAAUCCAAGUAGGGUUCACUACUGCACUGUCUGUGUCACCUGUGACAAGAUUUUACUCACACCUACAUGUGGAAUGAUUGUGAUAAAGGCAGCAACAAGAAGCUGUUUAAGCAAUUGCCAAAUGAAACAAAUAGGAUGAUUUUGGUUGUGAAUGCUAACGACAAACAAGUUCACAGAAAUGGCUAUGUGGAAUUCUCUAUGCUGAGUCCAUUAAAACAAAUCAACCUGGCUGGAUUUGUUGAUCAAAAGUGGACAAGGAUGGCAAGUGGAAAUUGUAUGAAAUCUUAAAAUGUAGAAACACGUACUGCCUCAUUUUGGGGACUGGAGAACUUUCAUUUCAGUGAUGUGUCGUUUAGAACUUUAGAUGUGUAUAUUUGUUUGAAUUGAUCUUCACUUAAAAACAAUAGAACUUGCAUUAUGUACAUAAAAAACAGGUUUCCUAAAUGACUGCUUUAUCCAUAAUAUAGAUGGGUCCCAAGCCCAUCCCUAGAUCAAGACUUGGAAUGCCAGUGUCAAAAUUACACAUGCAUGUAUUGAGUGAGAACCCUGUGCGAGAACCCCUGAAGAGUCAGGACUGUAAACUAACUUGUUAUAAACACCUGUUUGUCAUGUUUAUAGUGUACACCUUAAUACAUGCCAGCGGCCCGACCACAUUGUAGCCGAGUCCUUCACAAUUCAGCUUCUCAGCUGCCAGUAAAGAUAAUUAGUCUCCAAAAUGUUUCUAAUUUUAUGUAUAUUUUUUUGAUAAUGUUGUAUAAUCCUCGCAGCGGAUUUAGUUUAGCAUUCAUUAGAACGCAGGGUUUGAGAUCAAGAUACGUACAACAAACAGUUCUGCGAUGUCUCUCUGAUGAACUUUUAUUCGAUGAACCUAGAGUCUAACGGACUCUACAGACGAUUAAUGGACGGUCCUUGACGGAAUUUACAACCGGUCCAUGACAGACAGACCCCUGUACAUUAAGAAAUAAUGCAAACAUGGGUUUAAAAUACUACUACAGUCCUACAAUAGAUCACAACACACAGUUCAAAGGUCAUAGUACUGGUAACCAAACACUAAAACAGUACAUCAGCUGGUGCUCAAUAGAUGGAAUGUGACAGGUUACAUAACACUGUUUGGGCUAGACAGAGAUUUGUCCUUGUCCCCAA